This 1804-nucleotide long non-coding RNA is filed under the name Helianthus annuus (common sunflower). RNAcentral describes it as "hypothetical non coding rna". The record is from RNAcentral. Lineage: Eukaryota; Viridiplantae; Streptophyta; Magnoliopsida; Asterales; Asteraceae.
GGUGUGUGCUACGAUCGAACAGGAGAAAGGAAAAAGGGGGUGUGAACCCUAAACCUCAAGAAAUCAUCAAAUUGAAAAGGGAAUCAAGGGCUGAUUGUAUGCAUGAACCAAGGAUGAUGAUCCCUUAAGCAUUUCUAACAUCAAUAGGAGCCAUGUCAACAUGGACACGAGCAUGGAAGGGCAAUGGGUCAACGGUAAAUACGGAAGCUAUGCAUGAACUCGGACGCACGAGGUAGCGUUAGUUAAUUGAGCAUGGUGAUGAUUGAAGUUUGAUAUGGUUUUGGUUGUAUGAAAUCGGUAAUUUUAGCUAAGUAGACCGAACGGGACAAUAUAAAGUUGUAAUGAUAUGACAGAUUGAUGUAAUGCUACGGUAUUGUAACCGGGUAAUGGGUAGAAUUGCACAUAAGUGCGCCAACCGAGAAUGGGGACUUAGGUUAAUGGUCAAAAGACUUAGCUUUUGACCUUAAAUAAAAGAAUGGUUUAACAAAAUACGAACAGGUCGAAUAAAUGUGCAUAAACUUCAUAAUGCUAAUGAAAUGCGUAAAGAUUAAGGACCCGGGUAAGGGCGUUUAGCCCAUAGUGUAAGGACAAGUCUUACGGACAACUAGAAAUAAUUGUGAGCAAUUUGAUUGAGGAAUGUUUGAGAUACGCAAGUUUUAAUAAUAAAAAAUAUGAAUGGGUUGAAUAGUCGAAACGAGUAUGUAGAGCCGAAGGCUUUAAGUUAAGAUUUUUCCUUAUUUGAAUGUUAUAUUACAAGCUCAUAUGUUAGAAAAUCGAUUUACCAACGCAUAGGAAAAAGAAUCAUGUUAAUCGGAUUCGUAGAUCAAAAGUUAUGCAAAUUGUAAGUCGAAAAUACCCUUGGAAUUCAUAGCUGGGAAUUUACAGCAGCAAAUUGGAAGUUUCUGUCGAAAUAGAGCUGUCGCGCCCCGCGAGCGCCAGUCAGCUGGCAAAUUUUGGUUUUCUUGUUUGAUUUUGCAUCCGGACUCGAUGUUUUAAUGAUUUUCGAUGUCCCUUAACUUAUAUUAAAGCCGGUUUGAAUCACGAGUGAUGUUAUGAGCCUCCGGAUAAUGAAAGUAUGUAUUUUUCUUCGUGUUAGAGAAGAAAGAUUAUAAGUAAUCGAGACUAGAAAUGAGUGGGCAUGCAGUAUGGUAAGUAUAAAACUUAUAUCAUGGAAGUUGCGAUUAUGAUAAGAAAUGCGAGAUUAAGUGAAUAAAAGUAGUAAGCGAGGGCUCGCGUCUAUGUGUGUGUAUGUGAAUGUGUGCGUAUGUAUGUAGGUGUAUAUGUUGUAUGUAUGUAGGAAUUAGGAACGUAUACGUUUGUGGAUGCGAGAUGUUAUAAGUAUAUGAAGGAAUGGUUUGGACUGGUUUCAUUAUGUUCUAGUACUAAUGUUUGCUAAUCGUGUGUUUGAGAUUGGAAUGAAAUGCAGGUACAUGAACACCGGGUUCAUGAAGUAUCGAAGUCGAAUUCGGAACAAGAAAAUACGAAAGGAUAGUUGAAUGAAUUAAAGUUCCUACUGUUAAAUUUUAUUCAAUAUUGGACUAUAUGAGAAUCAUGUCGUAUGAUAUUGUUAUUGACUAAUGGUUAUGAUGUAUGCGAUGUCCACAGGUAUUGCACGGAUUACCGCUACUACUACCGAAGAUAAGCAAGCGUUGAUCGAGUCACGGAGCAAGGGUUGUACGGAAAUAUGUAUUGUCUUGAAGCGUUAAUUUAAUGUGGUUAUUGUAAAUCCCUUUUGUAAAUGUUUAUCAUUUGUAUUUGAGCCUUCAAGUAAGUAAUGUGUCUAAAUAAGAAAGAAAUUUUUUGG